ACCAAGUAGAAGGGGCAGAAGAUGGUACCCCACAGGCUGAGUGCCAGCAGUAAACCAUGGUGACUAUGAAGAAUCUGAGAUGAUGAGGCAGAGUGUGAGUUCAGACAAUUGAGCUGAGGAAGCAGCAUUGUCAACAGCGUUCCUCCUCUCAAGGGUGAUGGUACCUGUGGGAAGAUGGAGGAAUGACAGGAGAGAAAUGUAAUGGAUCCUCACAGAAAUAUCCCUGAGACAAUUCUAGCUGCUUUCCCAAAGCUAAGUGCUUCCAAGGAUGUUUGCACAUAGGUUGGCAAAGAACAAGGAUGGGUCAGGCUGGGAGAGAACUGAGGUCUGGAUGACCUGGGAUUCCCAGAAUGAGGUGGGUGAGGACUCUGUGACCUCACAAUAGAACCCUGCCCUAGUAAUGCCAGGGUCUUACCUGAGGACAAGCCAGAGUCCAGAAGGAGGGCUUGAAUCACAGCAAGUGCAUGUGACUGGGUGACAGCUGCUGAGGCAGAGCCAGCACCUGCCUUGGAACUCCAGUUUCCAAACAAUGACAGGAUGAAGCUCUGCUGUUAUGCUGGUCUCCAGAGUGACAUUCUCAGAAGUCAUUGACUAUAUCAAGGCAGAGCCAGAACUGCUGAAAAUAGACGAAGACUUAGUCAAAGAUUUGGGCAAGCAUGGGCUGGAAAGGAUCGACUACCUCCACCCUAAUAUUAAACAGGUACCCUGAUCCUGAAAAAGGCUGGACCCCAAAUCAGAAGACAUGGGGACCCAAGGAAUUCCCUGACCCUAAAGAAGCAUGGGUCCGUUAGAGAGGAAACAUAGGCCUGGGCCAAUCAAAUGAAAGAAGCCAGGGCCAUACCAAGAAAAUGGGUGUGCCCAGGCCAAUCCUGACCCUGAAAAAGCCCAGGCCCAAAGCAUGAAGAGAU
Mesocricetus auratus (golden hamster) is the source of this 908-nucleotide long non-coding RNA. RefSeq lists it as uncharacterized. The record is from RefSeq and is a predicted model, not a curated record. Lineage: Eukaryota; Metazoa; Chordata; Mammalia; Rodentia; Cricetidae. The transcript has 3 exons.